UACGUAGGGGGCAAGCGUUGUCCGGAUUUAUUGGGCGUAAAGAGCGUGUAGGCGGCCAUACAGGUCCGUUGUGAAAACUCGAGGCUUAACCUCGAGACGUCGAUGGAAACCGUAUGGCUAGAGUCCGGAAGAGGAGAGUGGAAUUCCUGGUGUAGCGGUGAAAUGCGCAGAUAUCAGGAAGAACACCCGUGGCGAAGGCGGCUCUCUGGGACGGUACUGACGCUGAGACGCGAAAGCCAGGGGAGCAAACGGG
Molecule: ribosomal RNA, 253 nt
Filed under: uncultured bacterium
Lineage: Bacteria
Description: partial 16S ribosomal RNA
Rfam family: Bacterial small subunit ribosomal RNA
Source: RNAcentral